GAUGAAGAACGCAGCGAAAUGCGAUACUUGGUGUGAAUUGCAGAAUCCCGUGAACCAUCGAGUCUUUGAACGCAAGUUGCGCCCGAAGCCAUUAGGCCGAGGGCACGCCUGCCUGGGCGUCACACGUCGUUGCCCCCCCAUCUACUCCUUCGGGAUUGCGGGGGGCGGAUGAUGGCCUCCCGUGCGCCUCGUCGCGCGGUUGGCCUAAAUGCCAAGUCCUCGGCGACGCACGCCACGACAAUCGGUGGUUGCGAAACCUCGGUUGCCCGUCGUGUGCGGUCGUCGCGCAUCGAGGGCUCGAAAAAAUUGCCGGGCUUCGGCUCGACUUUCAACGCGACCCCAGGUCAGGCGGGGUUACCCGCUGAAUUUAAGCAUAUCAAUAAGCGGAGGA
This 391-nucleotide unclassified non-coding RNA is filed under the name soil metagenome. RNAcentral's name for it is "partial contains 5.8S ribosomal RNA, internal transcribed spacer 2, and large subunit ribosomal RNA". The stretch from base 1 to 122 matches the Rfam family "5.8S ribosomal RNA", at positions 35 to 154 of the family's 154-position model. The record is from RNAcentral.